CAGCAGCCACGGUAAUACGAAGGGUGCAAGCGUUAAUCGGAAUUACUGGGCGUAAAGCGCGCGUAGGUGGUGGUUUAAGUCCGUUGUGAAAGCCCUGGGCUCAACCUGGGAAUUGCAGUGGAUACUGGGUCACUAGAGUGUGGUAGAGGAUAGUGGAAUUUCCGGUGUAGCAGUGAAAUGCGUAGAGAUCGGAAGGAACAUCUGUGGCGAAGGCGACUAUCUGGGCCAACACUGACACUGAGGCACGAAAGCGUGGGGAGCAAACAGGAUUAGAUACCCGUGUAGUCCCUGUCUCUUAUAC
Molecule: ribosomal RNA, 301 nt
Filed under: uncultured bacterium
Lineage: Bacteria
Description: partial 16S ribosomal RNA
Rfam family: Bacterial small subunit ribosomal RNA
Source: RNAcentral